GUAGGCAGCGAGCGUUGUUCGGAGUUACUGGGCGUAAAGGGUGUGUAGGCGGUUCUCUAAGUUUGGUGUGAAAUCUCCCGGCUCAACCGGGAGGGUGCGCCGAAAACUGGAGGGCUAGAGUGCGGGAAGGGAGAGUAGAAUUCCUGGUGUAGCGGUGAAAUGCGUAGAUAUCAGGAGGAAUACCGGUGGUGUAGACGGCUCUCUGGACCGCGACUGACGCUGAGACACGAAAGCGUGGGUAGCAAACAGGAUUAGAUACCCUGGUAGUCCACGCCCUAAACGAUGCAUAUUUGGUGUAGGUCAUUCAGUUGAUCUGUGCCGGAGCUAACGCGUUAAAUAUGCCGCCUGGGGAGUACAGUCGCAAGGCUG
This 369-nucleotide ribosomal RNA is filed under the name uncultured bacterium. Its description in RNAcentral is "bacterial SSU rRNA". It matches the Rfam family "Bacterial small subunit ribosomal RNA", at positions 527 to 896 of the family's 1533-position model. The record is from RNAcentral.